CGCUCACCUCCCGCUCCGCCGUUCGGAAUCCCCGCGCUUGCGUCACGCGCCGCUCCGCCUCAGUCGCGAUGCGUAACUUCCGGCGGGCGCUCUCGCGAGACUUCCGGCGUUGCCCAGGGAACGGGGCUUGUGUGGGCUGUAGUGCAGCCCGAGUAGGCCCCGUUGCGGAGCCCCAAGUAGGCCCCGUUGCGCCUUGGCGGGACCAGGGGCGAGCGAGUGGGGCUGGGCGUUCUGCGCUGCCCCCUGUGAUCUGUUGUGGAGGUUCUGGGAGCCGUGGGCUGCGAAAUUCCGAGCCCUGGUGGUGGUUUGGGCCUCGAGGGCAGCAGGGCCUGGGCCCGAGGGGGGCUCCUCCGCCCUGCUCAGCUGCACAGUUCUCUGCCUGCCUUCAGCCUUCUGUCACUGCUGCACAUGGCCAGGAGCUGCCUGGAGGCUGCAGCCCCUCAAAGCGAAGGUCGCACGCCCCUGGUGUGCCCCCAGCCAGCCCUGAGCUGCUCUGUCCUCAUGGAUCACUGUAUGUAAGAUUCUAGCAAAUCAUGCAACUCUUGUAAUAAAUGGAUAGGUAUGGUUUACCUGGAUCCUCAAAUUUCACAAAACUGUAUUUUAUGUGCUUACAUGAGGAAGAAAGUGGGAAGAAAAUGUUUCAUACACAUCUCCCUGCGUUGUUGCAUCUUCCCACGCUGUUAGAUGGUUGCUGUGAAGAUGCAGAGCAGGAUGUGGUUUAGUUUACUGUAUCUUGUCAAAUACCUCUUAGCAAACUGUAAGGGGUAAUGUUUGUAUGUAGAAGCGUUCAAAUACUUAAGAGACCUUAAAUGUGGGCCUGUUGUGUAACCUGAUCUCUUCUCCAACUUGGGGUAUAUUCUGUGUUCAGUUAGGAGAGUUUAUUGUGUGGCUGUUUUGCUUGCCAGCCUUUAAACUCCUUGAGCUGAACUUGCCAGGCUUGUAAACUGUCUUUAACUGUAGCUAAUGGGCUGGGGAGAUUUGAGUUAUUCUUUCUGUACUUUGCAGCACACAAAAUGUAACAAUUUAUUUUGCUCGUGUUUCUGAAUGUGCCAGAGGCUCCAACUUGAUACUCAUCACACAAGAUUCUGCUGCAAAAGAAAUGACUUAUUAAAAUCGUGAAACACCAUGAGAGUGAACAGUAAGAUAUUUAUAAUGGAGAAUAAAGGUUUAAAAAUGAUCUCAAA
Molecule: long non-coding RNA, 1184 nt
Organism: Numida meleagris (helmeted guineafowl)
Lineage: Eukaryota; Metazoa; Chordata; Aves; Galliformes; Numididae
Exons: 2
Source: RefSeq, a predicted model, not a curated record